CCUACGGGAGGCAGCAGUGGGGGAUAUUGCACAAUGGGGGAAACCCUGCUGCAGCGACGCCGCGUGUGGGAAGACGGUCCUCUGUAUUGUAAACCACUGUCCCCAGGGACGAAGCUGACGGUACCUGGGGAGGAAGCUCCGACUAACUACGUGCCAGCAGCCGCGGUAAUACGUGGGGAGCGAGCGUUGUCCGGAAUUACUGGGUGUAAAGGGAGCGUAGGCGGGACUGCAAGUUGGGUGUCAAAUCUACCGGCUCAACCGGUAGCCGCACUCAAAACUGCAGUUCUUGAGUGAAGUAGAGGCAGGCGGAAUUCCUAGUGUAGCGGUGAAAUGCGUAGAUAUUAGGAGGAACACCAGUGGCGAAGGCGGCCUGCUGGGCUUUUACUGACGCUGAGGCUCGAAAGUGUGGGGAGCAAACAGGAUUAGAUACCCGGGUAGUC
This 440-nucleotide ribosomal RNA is filed under the name uncultured bacterium. RNAcentral describes it as "partial 16S ribosomal RNA". It matches the Rfam family "Bacterial small subunit ribosomal RNA", at positions 338 to 795 of the family's 1533-position model. The record is from RNAcentral.